RNAcentral lists this long non-coding RNA (306 nucleotides) under Eucalyptus grandis. RNAcentral describes it as "long non-coding RNA (EGRA_LNC003991)". Lineage: Eukaryota; Viridiplantae; Streptophyta; Magnoliopsida; Myrtales; Myrtaceae. The record is from RNAcentral.
UAGACAAGUCGGUGCCGGAUCUGCAGCCGGAAGGGGGGCGCGGUGGUUCGCCGGUCACGCGGUGGUUCGCUGUCGAAGAGAGGGAGGGCAGACAGAGACGUGAGGAGAGAGAAAGAGUAAGGGACGGACGAGUCGGGGCUGGAAUCGGAGCCAGAGGGGCGGCGCGGUGGUUCGCCGGUCGGAAAGAGGGAGGGCAGAGAGAGAAGGAGGUCGCACGCCGGUCGGUUGCUCGCGGUGGUUCGCCAGUCGGAAAAAGCGAGGGCAGAGAGAGAGGGAGUUCGUCGGGGAGAGAGAGCGAGGGUAGAG